Molecule: transfer RNA, 71 nt
Filed under: Camelus bactrianus (Bactrian camel)
Lineage: Eukaryota; Metazoa; Chordata; Mammalia; Artiodactyla; Camelidae
Also listed under: 1 other name
Rfam family: tRNA
About the family: Transfer RNA (tRNA) molecules are approximately 80 nucleotides in length. Their secondary structure includes four short double-helical elements and three loops (D, anti-codon, and T loops).
Source: Rfam by way of RNAcentral
GAGGGUAUAGCUCAGUGGUAGAGUAUGUGCUUAGCAUGCACAAGGUCCUAGGUUCAAUCCCAGUACCUCUG